CAGUGAUGAUAUUAACCUGAAAAUAGCUGGAAUUACCGUCAGACUGCAGGUGGUGAUCUGGUAUAUCUGAGC
Molecule: small nucleolar RNA, 72 nt
Organism: Pseudophryne corroboree (corroboree frog)
Lineage: Eukaryota; Metazoa; Chordata; Amphibia; Anura; Myobatrachidae
Source: RefSeq, a predicted model, not a curated record